This 260-nucleotide non-coding RNA is filed under the name Rummeliibacillus stabekisii. RNAcentral describes it as "T-box sequence". It matches the Rfam family "T-box leader". From Rfam's summary of the family: Uncharged tRNA acts as the effector for transcription antitermination of genes in the T-box leader family. T-boxes are found upstream of many aminoacyl-tRNA synthetase genes and some amino acid biosynthetic genes usually in Gram-positive bacteria. Lineage: Bacteria; Bacillati; Bacillota; Bacilli; Caryophanales; Caryophanaceae. The record is from RNAcentral.
ACAAAGGCUAUGAAAAGAAAUAGUAUCAAUUCAUUUUUACAAACAGAAAGUUACCGGUUGUUGAGAGGUGCAUGUAAAACGAUUGAGAAUUCAUCUUGGAGCUGUGUACCGAAAAGAUUUUUCUUAGUAGGCUAUACCGGUAAGCAUCCGUAAUCAUGUGCAACAGUAUCGUCAGUAAAUGACUGACCGUACUUUCUAAGGUAAGCAAUGUGAGUUGCUUACAAAUUAAAGGUGGUAACACGAGUUGAAUCGUCCUUUUG